GACGAACGCUGGCGGCGUGCCUAAUACAUGCAAGUAGAACGCUGAAGGAGGAGCUUGCUUCUCUGGAUGAGUUGCGAACGGGUGAGUAACGCGUAGGUAACCUGCCUGGUAGCGGGGGAUAACUAUUGGAAACGAUAGCUAAUACCGCAUAAUAGUAGAUGUCGCAUGACAUUUGCUUAAAAGGUGCAAUUGCAUCACUACCAGAUGGACCUGCGUUGUAUUAGCUAGUUGGUGAGGUAACGGCUCACCAAGGCAACGAUACAUAGCCGACCUGAGAGGGGGAGCGCCCACUCGGGCACUGAGACACGGCCCAGACUCCUGCGGGAGGCAGCAGGAGGAAAUCUUCGGAAAGGGACGGAAGUCUGACCGAGCAACGCCGCGUGAGUGGAGAAGGUUUUCGGAUCGUAAAGCUCUGGUGUAAGAAGAGAACGAGUGAGAGUGGAAAGUUCACACUGUGACGGUAUCUUACCAGAAAGGGACGGCUAACUACGUG
This 493-nucleotide ribosomal RNA is filed under the name uncultured bacterium. Its description in RNAcentral is "partial 16S ribosomal RNA". It matches the Rfam family "Bacterial small subunit ribosomal RNA", at positions 28 to 507 of the family's 1533-position model. The record is from RNAcentral.